GAGAUGGUAGAAUUAAUCCCGGUAGAGGAUUCAUAUAGACAUCCUCAACAAGAUCACCAUGAAGAAAGGCGGUAUUAACAUCAAGUAUUAACAUACUUGAUAGGUGGUUUUAAUCAGGGAGCUGCCACCUCCCUUAUAUAUCAGAGUGUGGUUGUUGAAUUAUGAUUGGUUUUCAAAGGAGGUGACAUCCUUCUUUUUCAUUUAAAAGGACAAUCAUGUUUUUUCGAGAAGGGGAAAAAUGAAGAAAAAAGGACCUACCGAUUACAAUGAAAAACUCUACACCCUAAUCCCACCACAAGCAAUCCCUCUACACCCCAAAUCCAUUACACCUCAAAUCCGUUACACCCCAAUCCCACUACAAAAUAAAGCAUAAAUAUACAAACAUAAGCGCUUCUAGUACUCCUUCGAGAAUCCAUCGUCAAGGUUUCCGAAGUCCCAUACUCUUGGAGCAAAUGGUCGGAGGUCGCGUCCAUACUGUCAAGGAAGAAGAAAGAAAAAUCAGUUUUCUUCCUUUAAAAAAAGGUUGGUAUUUCUAAAUGAGUCUCUUCCUAAUUCUCACAUACCAUUCACAUCCUGGCUCAAUACAUGUCAAUAUGCUUGUUAUACUAGUAUCUGUCUUACUAUCAUUUACGCAACCUCUAAUAAUUUACGCAACCUCUAAUAUAAUAUUCACUACAACUAUAAGCUAAACAGCCAACUUAAACAAACAAAGGGUUCAAGGAUAAAAUGAAACUUUUUUGUUCACGAAAGGAUGCUAAAAACAUAUUAACAAUGGAUUAAGCAACCUCCUAUUACCUUUUUACACUAUUUACACCAAGAAUUUAAGAGUCACAAAAUUACUCAUAACAUGACGUCGAAAUCAAGCAAAAAUAUGAGAUCUUUGUUAAAAUAUGUUGCUGGAAAUUUAUGAAAAAUGUCAAAUAACUAAGACUUUCAAACGAAUAAGCCGCUUCCGUUAGCAUGAAAAAACUAAAUACCAUAAAAGGACUCGAAAUUUGGAAUCAAUUUCACAAAUAAAUUAUGAGUUAUCUUAACAAUUUUAUGGCUGGGAUUUUACAAAAAANNNNNNNNNNNNCAAAAAAAAUCAGUUCAGUCAAAUCUUUCAAAGGAAGUCUUUUUUUUUGUGGUGUCAAAAUGGUUGGAUUCGCUUUGGUAUUGGGAGCCAAAGUUUUCAUCCUUCGAAGUACGUUUUUACAAAAAUGAUAAGUCCUUUUUUUUAAUCGAGUCAAAAAGUAAUGUCGUAACUGCAGUUCCAAAUUCAUACCUAACUGCUUUUCAUCUUCCCAAGUCCGGUCCCUCCUGCUCUCCGUCGUUCUUGAGCGAUUUGCACCCUUCUAUUAUACCUGCAAAAAUACACUAUCAGAACCAACCUUUAAUUUUCAAAUAAGGUAAAACUUGACUAAGACAAAGUGGAUAGAUUUCUCACCAAGUAGCGGUCGUCUUUUGGCGGUUCGGUUUCGCCGUCAGUGGUCCUCCGGCCAAGAGCCUUGUCCCCUUCUCCACCGAUCCCCAACUCCAUUGAAAACAGAAACCAAAAUAAAGACAACAAAAAGCAGAGAAAGGCCACAAAAAUAAAAAACUCAAACCUUAGAUCUACAGAUCGGGACUUGCAGACGACAUGCAAGCCUGGAUCGAAGAAAAACAGAAAAAAAAACAUGAGUAGAAAGGGAAUUUUCAUGUUUUUUUACCUUUUCUUCCUUCUUUUUCCUUCCUUUGACGUUGUGGUAGAAGAGAGAAAGCGGAGGCGACCGUCGCCGUCGCUGCUGGCGAGACAAAAAAAGAGAAAGAAAAAAGCGGAGACAGUGGCAGAAAAAGAAAACAGUAGAGGAGGAAAGAUGGGGAGAAAGAGAAGAAGGAAAAGAAGAGAAGGAAAGAGAUGGAGGCGACGGCCGCCGUCUUUGUCGUUGAGAGAGGAGGAAAGAGGUCGAGAGGGAGCAGAGGAGAAGGAAAGGCACGAAGAAGAAGAGAAGAAAAAUGAAAAUAAAAAAAAGAGAAGAAGGGGGAGUGACAACGACGCCGCCGUCGACGGAAGUGAAAGGAAAGUGUAGAGAGAAGGGAGAGGGUUUGGGAGGAAGAGAGAGCACGCUAGGGUUUGAAAGGGAUGUUUUUAGUUUAAGAGUGGUAUUUAUAUCGUCCAGGUAAGUUAUGAUUUUGCCCCCCACGUUCCUUCUU
This 2172-nucleotide long non-coding RNA is filed under the name Linum usitatissimum (flax). Its description in RNAcentral is "long non-coding RNA (LUSI_LNC003088)". Lineage: Eukaryota; Viridiplantae; Streptophyta; Magnoliopsida; Malpighiales; Linaceae. The record is from RNAcentral.